UACGAAGGGGGCUAGCGUUGCUCGGAAUCACUGGGCGUAAAGGGUGCGUAGGCGGUUCUUUAAGUCAGGGGUGAAAUCCUGGAGCUCAACUCCAGAACUGCCUUUGAUACUGGAGAUCUUGAGUUCGGGAGAGGUGAGUGGAACUGCGAGUGUAGAGGUGAAAUUCGUAGAUAUUCGCAAGAACACCAGUGGCGAAGGCGGCUCACUGGCCCGAUACUGACGCUGAGGCACGAAAGCGUGGGGAGCAAACAGG
RNAcentral lists this ribosomal RNA (253 nucleotides) under uncultured bacterium. RNAcentral's name for it is "partial 16S ribosomal RNA". It matches the Rfam family "Bacterial small subunit ribosomal RNA", at positions 524 to 776 of the family's 1533-position model. The record is from RNAcentral.